This 93-nucleotide microRNA precursor is filed under the name Ascaris suum (pig roundworm). Its description in RNAcentral is "microRNA asu-mir-34 precursor". Its record names the gene asu-mir-34. Lineage: Eukaryota; Metazoa; Nematoda; Chromadorea; Rhabditida; Ascarididae. The record is from miRBase by way of RNAcentral.
GCGGAUAAGUCACCGGCUGGCAGUGUGGUUAGCUGGUUGUCAGAUGUGAGACAACGGCUAUCACCACUGCCGUCCUGGUGGUUCGUCCAUCCG